This 491-nucleotide ribosomal RNA is filed under the name uncultured bacterium. Its description in RNAcentral is "partial 16S ribosomal RNA". It matches the Rfam family "Bacterial small subunit ribosomal RNA", at positions 29 to 507 of the family's 1533-position model. The record is from RNAcentral.
AGUGAACGCUGGCGGUAGGCCUAACACAUGCAAGUCGAACGGCAGCACAGUAAGAUCUUGCUCUUACGGGUGGCGAGUGGCGGACGGGUGAGGAAUACAUCGGAAUCUACUUUUUCGUGGGGGAUAACGUAGGGAAACUUACGCUAAUACCGCAUACGACCUACGGGUGAAAUCAGUGAUCUUCGGACCUUGCGCGAUUGAAUGAGCCGAUGUCGGAUUAGCUAGUUGGCGGGGUAAAGGCCCACCAAGGCGACGAUCCGUAGCUGGUCUGAGAGGAUGAUCAGCCACACUGGAACUGAGACACGGUCCAGACUCCUACGGGAGGCAGCAGUGGGGAAUAUUGGACAAUGGGCGCAAGCCUGAUCCAGCAAUACCGCGUGGGUGAAGAAGGCCUUCGGGUUGUAAAGCCCUUUUGUUGGGAAAGAAAAGCAGCAGGUUAAUACCCCGCUGUUCUGACGGUACCCAAAGAAUAAGCACCGGCUAACUUCGUG